This 253-nucleotide ribosomal RNA is filed under the name uncultured bacterium. RNAcentral describes it as "partial 16S ribosomal RNA". It matches the Rfam family "Bacterial small subunit ribosomal RNA", at positions 524 to 776 of the family's 1533-position model. The record is from RNAcentral.
UACGGAGGGUGCAAGCGUUAUCCGGAUUUACUGGGUUUAAAGGGUGUGUAGGCGGACUAUUAAGUCAGGGGUGAAAUCCCGAGGCUCAACCUCGGAACUGCCUUUGAUACUAUUAGUCUUGAAUCUUGUUGAGGUGGGCGGAACGGGUCAUGUAGCGGUGAAAUGCAUAGAUAUGACCCGGAACACCGAUUGCGAAGGCAGCCCGCUAAGCAAGCAUUGACGCUGAGGCACGAAAGCGUGGGGAUCAAACAGG